AGCCGCCCAAAGCAAUUCCCACAAUUGCUUAAAAGAUCAUCGUCAAAUUCCGCCAUCAUCUCCACCACCGCGGAUCAUCUCGUGAAUUGCAACAGGUUCUGGUUUCCUACCUUACUGCUGCUGCAAUUUAGUUAUCCCUAUCCGAAAAUCCAAAAAAAAAAAAAUUGUUCCUAUAUUGCUGCAUAAACUUUUCGUCACAAAG
RNAcentral lists this long non-coding RNA (202 nucleotides) under Musa acuminata (dwarf banana). RNAcentral describes it as "long non-coding RNA (MACU_LNC006866)". Lineage: Eukaryota; Viridiplantae; Streptophyta; Magnoliopsida; Zingiberales; Musaceae. The record is from RNAcentral.